RNAcentral lists this transfer RNA (71 nucleotides) under Phrynosoma platyrhinos (Desert horned lizard). RNAcentral's name for it is "tRNA-OTHER". The record is from RNAcentral. Lineage: Eukaryota; Metazoa; Chordata; Lepidosauria; Squamata; Phrynosomatidae.
GCCAGUGUGGCAUAGUGGUUUGAGUAUUAGACUAGGACUCUGGAGACCAGGUUCAAAUCCCAGCUCAGCCA